UUUUAUACGACCAAAAAAUUUUUUUGCGGUUGUAUAUUGGUAUGACGUUGGCGUCGUCCAAAGACACAUUGGUUUUUGCACAAUAACUUUAGUUUAAGUGAAUGGAUCUCUAUGAAAUUUUACCAUAAGGUUCAAUACCACAAAAGGAAGGUUGGGAUUGAUUUUGGGGGUUAUGGUACCAACAGUUAAGGAAUUAGGGGCCAAAAAUAAGCAUUUUUGUAACUUCCAGACAUAACUUGUGUGUUAGUGUAUGGAUCUCUCUGACAUUGUACCACAAGGUUCCAUAUCACAAAAGGGAAUGCUGGGAUUGAUUUUGGGGGUAAUUGCCUCCAAAUUUUAGGAAUUAGGGGCCAAAAAGGGGCAAAAAACAAGCAUUUUUCUAGUUUCAUGACAAUAACUUGUGUGUAAGGGUAUGGAUCUUUAUGAAAUUGUACUACAAGGUUCCAUAUCACAAAGGGAAAGCUGGAAUUGAGUUUGGGGGUAAUUGACCUAAAUGCUUAGGAAGAAGGGACCAAAAAAGGGCCAAAAAUAAGCAUUUUUCUAGUUUCCAGACAAUAACUUGUAUUCAAGUGUAUGGAUCUCUCUGAAAUUGUACUGCAAGGUACCAUACCACAAAGGAAGGCUGGGAUUGAUUUUGGGGGUAAUUCCCUCAAAAUUUUAGGAAUGAGGGGCCAUAAAAGGGCAAAAAAACCAGCAUUUUUCUAGUUUCAGGACAAUAACUUGUGUGUAAGUGUAUGGAUCUUUAUGAAAUUGUACUGCAAGGUUCCAUAUCACAAAGGGAAGGCUGGGUUUGAGUUUGGGGGUGAUUGCCCUAAACAUUUAGGAAUUUGGGGCCAAAAAGGGACCAAAAAACAAGCAUUUUUCUAGUUUCCAGACAAUUACUUGUGUUCAAGUGUAUGGAUCUCUCUGAAAUUGUUCUGCAAGGUACCAUACCACAAAGGGAAGGCUGAGAUUGAGUUUGGGGGUGAUGAAUCAUAAGGGGGUUCACAAAA
This is a long non-coding RNA of Mytilus californianus (California mussel), 992 nucleotides long. RefSeq lists it as uncharacterized. The transcript is spliced from 3 exons. NCBI's taxonomy places the organism in Eukaryota, Metazoa, Mollusca, Bivalvia, Mytilida, Mytilidae. The record is from RefSeq and is a predicted model, not a curated record.